UACGAAGGGUGCUAGCGUUGUUCGGAAUCACUGGGCGUAAAGCGCGCGUAGGCGGCCAUUCAAGUCAGGGGUGAAAUCCUUGGGCUCAACCCAAGAAUUGCCUUUGAAACUGUGUGGCUGGAGUGUCGGAGGGGAUAGCGGAAUUGCUAAUGUAGAGGUGAAAUUCGUAGAUAUUAGCAGGAACACCGGUGGCGAAGGCGGCUAUCUGGACGACAACUGACGCUGAGGCGCGAAAGCACGGGGAUCAAACAGG
This 253-nucleotide ribosomal RNA is filed under the name uncultured bacterium. RNAcentral describes it as "partial 16S ribosomal RNA". It matches the Rfam family "Bacterial small subunit ribosomal RNA", at positions 524 to 776 of the family's 1533-position model. The record is from RNAcentral.